This is a long non-coding RNA of Mirounga angustirostris (Northern elephant seal), 773 nucleotides long. RefSeq lists it as uncharacterized. The transcript has 3 exons. Lineage: Eukaryota; Metazoa; Chordata; Mammalia; Carnivora; Phocidae. The record is from RefSeq and is a predicted model, not a curated record.
AUAUUUUCUGACCACAGUGCUUUGGAACUUGAACUCAAUCACAUGAGGAAAUUUUGAAGGAAUGCAAACACUUGGAGGUUAAAGAGCAUCCUACUAAAGAGGGACUGGGUCAACCAGGCAAUUAAAGAAGAAUUUAAAAAAUUCAUGGAAACAAAUGAGAAUGAAAACACAACUGUUCAAAACCUUUGAGAUACAGCAAAGGCGAUCCUAGGAGAGAGCUCCUCAGCACUCAGCUCCAUCGACCCCCAUCAGUGAAGCUCUUCCUGUCCCUCACGCCCGCCUCUGUGUCCCUGAGCUUUGUACACACUCCAUCACUACACAUGUUCUUCUCCACUGCAGGCAUUUGUGUGUCUGUUUCUUCCACUAAACUCUCUGCUGGGGUGAGAGAGACCAUGACUUAUUCAUGUCCUCAGCACUCAACUGAGAGUCAACUUUGUACUCAUUCAGCCAAAGGAGAUCCUGCCAAAAUAAAAUGGAAAUUGAAGCAAAUGGCCAAGUUUUGACACUCUCGAACCAUCCUUUUAAUGCUGUGAAGUAAGACUUUGAGGUUAAAGCAGCAAACAGUGCCAUUUGGGACCAACUUAAUUAUUUGGCUUCACUUGACUUGAAGAGACCAGGUUUUAUUCCCCUACCUGUCCAGCGUGAAUUACUGUAAGAGUGACCAGUUUCUUCUGUUGCCAGAAGUAAUAAGUUCUCAGAAACAUAGUGGCUCAGAGAGGGGAAUUCAAUGUGAAACUGAAUUCAUUCGAAAGGAUACUUAAAUUUCAUUGCUU